Molecule: ribosomal RNA, 340 nt
Filed under: Armadillo officinalis (oak-woodland pillbug)
Lineage: Eukaryota; Metazoa; Arthropoda; Malacostraca; Isopoda; Armadillidae
Description: partial large subunit ribosomal RNA
Rfam family: Bacterial large subunit ribosomal RNA
Source: RNAcentral
AGGUAGCAUAAUCAUUUGUUAUCUAAAUGAUAACUAGUAUGAAUGGUCUGACGAGAAAAUAACUUUCUAAAAAGAAAAGAUAAAAAUUUAUUUUAAAGUAAAAAAGCUUUAUAACUUUAGAAAGACGAGAAGACCCUAGAACCUAUUCUAUCUAUAUAGUUUGUUGGGGUGACAUUAUUCAAAACAAAUAACUAUUAAAACUUAUUAACUGACUCUAUCUAUCUUUAUUAAAAAAAAAAAAGGUACUCUAGGGAUAACAGCAUAAUCUUCUUCUAGAGCCCUAAUCGACAAGAAAGAUUUUGACCUCGAUGUUGAAUUGAUAUUUCUUUCUAAAGCAGAA